UUACGACCACAUCAUGUUGAAAUACUGCUUCUCGUAUGAAUACCGAAGCUAAGCAACGUCGAACCUGGUCAGUACCUAGAUGGGUAACCGCUUGGGAAUACCGGGUGCUGUAAG
Non-coding RNA from Acanthosepion pharaonis, 114 nucleotides. The record is from the annotation of a GenBank genome assembly. Lineage: Eukaryota; Metazoa; Mollusca; Cephalopoda; Sepiida; Sepiidae.